UACGGGGGGGGCAAGCGUUGUUCGGAAUUACUGGGCGUAAAGGGCGCGUAGGCGGCCUACUAAGUCGGACGUGAAAUCCCUCGGCUCAACCGAGGAACUGCGUCCGAUACUGGCGAGGCUUGAAUUCGGGAGAGGGAUGUGGAAUUCCAGGUGUAGCGGUGAAAUGCGUAGAUAUCUGGAGGAACACCGGUGGCGAAGGCGGCAUCCUGGACCGCAACUGACGCUGAGGAGCGAAAGCAUGGGGAGCGAACAGG
RNAcentral lists this ribosomal RNA (254 nucleotides) under uncultured bacterium. RNAcentral's name for it is "partial 16S ribosomal RNA". It matches the Rfam family "Bacterial small subunit ribosomal RNA", at positions 524 to 776 of the family's 1533-position model. The record is from RNAcentral.